ACUGGCUGUGGGGGAACCAGGACUUUUACUGUGAAAAAUUAGAGUGUCAAAGCAGGCCUAUGCUCGAAUACAUUAGCAUGAAUAAUAGAAUAGGACGUGCGGUUCUAUUUUGUUGGUUUCUAGGACCGCCGUAAUGAUUAAUAGGGAUAGUCGGGGGCGUCAGUAUUCAGCUGUCAGAGGUGAAAUUCUUGGAUUUGCUGAAGACUAACUACUGCGAAAGCAUUCGCCAAGGAUGUUUUCAUUAAUCAGGGAACGAAAGUUAGGGGAUCGAAGACGAUCAGAUACCGUCGUAGUCUUAACCAUAAACUAUGCCGACUAGGGAUCGGGCGGCGUUUCU
This 337-nucleotide ribosomal RNA is filed under the name Aspergillus conicus. RNAcentral describes it as "SSU rRNA". It matches the Rfam family "Eukaryotic small subunit ribosomal RNA", at positions 727 to 1067 of the family's 1831-position model. The record is from RNAcentral. Lineage: Eukaryota; Fungi; Ascomycota; Eurotiomycetes; Eurotiales; Aspergillaceae.